This 1367-nucleotide ribosomal RNA is filed under the name metagenome. RNAcentral's name for it is "bacterial SSU rRNA". It matches the Rfam family "Bacterial small subunit ribosomal RNA", at positions 140 to 1498 of the family's 1533-position model. The record is from RNAcentral.
GGGAUAACACUUCGAAAGGGCUGCUAAUACCGGAUACACUUAUGAAUCGCAAGGUUCAUAAGGAAAGGAGACCUCCCCUUGGAAGUUUCCGUGUAGAGAUGAGCCUGCGUCCCAUUAGCUAGUUGGCAGGGUAAUGGCCUACCAAGGCGACGAUGGGUAGCGGGUCUGAGAGGAUGAUCCGCCACACUGGAACUGAAACACGGACCAGACUCCUACGGGAGGCAGCAGUGAGGAAUAUUGGACAAUGGGCGCAAGCCUGAUCCAGCGACGCCGCGUGAGUGAUGAAGGCCUUUGGGUCGUAAAGCUCUGUCAGCAGGGAAGAACGGCCGUGCGGUUAAUACCCGUGCGGAUUGACGGUACCUGCAGAGGAAGCACCGGCUAACUCCGUGCCAGCAGCCGCGGUAAUACGGAGGGUGCGAGCGUUAAUCGGAAUUACUGGGCGUAAAGGGCGCGUAGGCGGCCGAUCAAGUCAGGUGUGAAAGCCCACGGCUUAACCGUGUGAAGUGCAUCUGAAACUGGUCGGCUUGAGUAUCGGAGAGGAAAGUGGAAUUCCCGGUGUAGAGGUGAAAUUCGUAGAUAUCGGGAGGAAUACCGGUGGCGAAGGCGACUUUCUGGACGAAUACUGACGCUGAGGCGCGAAAGCGUGGGGAGCAAACAGGAUUAGAUACCCUGGUAGUCCACAGCUGUAAACGAUGUGCACUAGAUGUGGGGAAGUGUUGACCUUUCCUGUGUCGCAGCUAACGCAUUAAGUGCACCGCCUGGGGAGUACGGCCGCAAGGUUAAAACUCAAAGGAAUUGACGGGGGCCCGCACAAGCGGUGGAGUAUGUGGUUUAAUUCGACCUACACGAAGAACCUUACCUGGGUUUGACAUCACGGUGGUAGGGACCUGAAAGGGAACCGACCGCAAGGAGCCGUGACAGGUGCUGCGUGGCUGUCGUCAGCUCAUGUCGUGAGAUGUUCGGUUAAGUCCGAAAACGAGCGCAACCCUCGGGGGAAGUUACACGUGUCUGACCCGACUGCCUGCGAGAAGCAGGAGGAAGGUGGGGAUGACGUCAAGUCAGCAUGGCCUUUAUAUCCAGGGCUACACACACGCUACAAUGGGCGGUACAGUGGGAAGCGAAGACGUGAGUCGGAGCGGAUCCAAAAAGCCGUUCGUAGUUCGGAUUGCAGGCUGCAACCCGCCUGCAUGAAGCUGGAGUUGCUAGUAACCGCAGGUCAGCGAUACUGCGGUGAAUACGUUCCCGGGCCUUGUACACACCGCCCGUCACGUCAUGGGAGCUGGUCACGCCUGAAGCCGAUGAGCGAACCGCAAGGGAGCAGUCGUCGAAGGCAGGGCUGGUGACUGGGACGAAGUCGUAACAAGGUA